CCUACGGGGCGCAGCAGUGGGGAAUAUUGGACAAUGGGCGAAAGCCUGAUCCAGCCAUGCCGCGUGUGUGAAGAAGGCCUUCGGGUUGUAAAGCACUUUCAGUGGGGAAGAAAGCCUUGGGGCUAAUACCCUCGAGGAAGGACAUCACCCACAGAAGAAGCACCGGCUAACUCCGUGCCAGCAGCCGCGGUAAUACGGAGGGUGCGAGCGUUAAUCGGAAUUACUGGGCGUAAAGCGCGCGUAGGCGGUCUGAUAAGCCGGUUGUGAAAGCCCCGGGCUCAACCUGGGAACGGCAUCCGGAACGGUCAGGCUAGAGUGCAGGAGAGGAAGGUAGAAUUCCCGGUGUAGCGGUGAAAUGCGUAGAGAUCGGGAGGAAUACCAGUGGCGAAGGCGGCCUUCUGGACUGACACUGACGCUGAGGUGCGAAAGCGUGGGUAGCAAACAGGAUUAGAUACCCCAGUGUC
This 464-nucleotide ribosomal RNA is filed under the name Vreelandella stevensii. Its description in RNAcentral is "partial 16S ribosomal RNA". It matches the Rfam family "Bacterial small subunit ribosomal RNA", at positions 338 to 795 of the family's 1533-position model. Lineage: Bacteria; Pseudomonadati; Pseudomonadota; Gammaproteobacteria; Oceanospirillales; Halomonadaceae. The record is from RNAcentral.